UACGUAGGGUGCAAGCGUUGCCCGGAUUUAUUGGGCGUAAAGGGCGCGUAGGCGGCUCGGCACGUCCGUCGUGAAAUCGCCCGGCUCAACUGGGCGGGGUCAGCGGAUACGGUCGAGCUUGAGCAAGCUAGGGGGCAAUGGAAUUCCCGGUGUAGUGGUGGAAUGCGUAGAUAUCGGGAGGAACACCAGUGGCGAAGGCGGUUGCCUGGGGCUUUGCUGACGCUGAUGCGCGAAAGCGUGGGGAGCGAACAGG
RNAcentral lists this ribosomal RNA (253 nucleotides) under uncultured bacterium. RNAcentral describes it as "partial 16S ribosomal RNA". It matches the Rfam family "Bacterial small subunit ribosomal RNA", at positions 524 to 776 of the family's 1533-position model. The record is from RNAcentral.